AUUAACCAAACAAAGUUCAUCUUAGCUAAAUACAUCAUCAUCAUCAAGAACUAAAAAAAAAACAAAACUAAGCUAAAUGCAUCAAAUAUAUUUUACCAAGUCGGUUUUACAUAUUACCGAUACUUCAGUUAGUAAAAUAUAAUAUCUUAACUUCGCACAUGAAUAAUAUAAAGCCAAACAUAACUUUUCAAUAGUCGAAUACCUUUUUUCAGUAACUAAAAGACGUCGGCUUAGAUAAUAAAUGGCUUGUUCUUCCUUUUCUUCAUUUUCUUAAGCUAACAAGCAUCCCAAAUUUUCUUCUGCAGUCGAUAUAUAUAAUUUCAUCGGCUGAUUUGUCUUCGGAGGUACCAAUA
Molecule: long non-coding RNA, 353 nt
Filed under: Ananas comosus (pineapple)
Lineage: Eukaryota; Viridiplantae; Streptophyta; Magnoliopsida; Poales; Bromeliaceae
Description: long non-coding RNA (ACOM_LNC020690)
Source: RNAcentral